UUGGAGGGCAAGUCUGGUGCCAGCAGCCGCGGUAAUUCCAGCUCCAAUAGCGUAUAUUAAAGUUGUUGCAGUUAAAAAGCUCGUAGUUGAAUUUCGGGAUUGACGUGAUGGUCGUGCCUUAAGGGGUAUGAACUGUCACAGUUGAUUUCUCACCUUCUGGAGAAACUUGAUGUCCUUUAUUGGGUGUCUUGCGGAUCCAGGACCUUUACCUUGAAAAAAUUAGAGUGUUUAAAGCAGGCAUUUUUGCUCGAAUACAUUAGCAUGGAAUAAUAGAAUAGGACGGCAUGGUUCUAUUUUGUUGGUUUCUAGGAUCACCGUAAUGAUUAAUAGGGAUAGUUGGGGGCAUUAGUAUUCAAUUGUCAGAGGUGAAAUUCUUGGAUUUAUUGAGGACUAACUACCGCGAAAGCAUUUGCCAAGGAUGUUUUCAUUAAUCAAGAACGAAAGUUAGGGGAUCGAAGACGAUCAGAUACCGUCGUAGUCUUAACCAUAAACUAUGCCGACUAGGAAUCAGACGAUGUUAAUUUUUUAAUGACUCGUUUGGCACCUUACGGGAAACCAAAGUGUUUGGGUUC
Molecule: ribosomal RNA, 572 nt
Filed under: uncultured Glomeromycotina
Lineage: Eukaryota; Fungi; Glomeromycota
Description: SSU rRNA
Rfam family: Eukaryotic small subunit ribosomal RNA
Source: RNAcentral